Molecule: long non-coding RNA, 4085 nt
Filed under: Malus domestica (apple)
Lineage: Eukaryota; Viridiplantae; Streptophyta; Magnoliopsida; Rosales; Rosaceae
Description: long non-coding RNA (MDOM_LNC014045)
Source: RNAcentral
ACUUCAUUAAAGGAGCAAAACAAUUUGUCCUUUAGCGUUUUUGGACCUAAACGUAAAAACGUAAACUUUUGGGCCAAAGUGCAAAUACACAAAAGUAUCAAAACUUUAUGUAAUUGCAUAAAAGCCCCAAAAGUACUCCCACUUGAGGGAGUGGCCGGUUUUGGAGAAAGGAUUAGAGUGAUGUGUGUGUUGAUUUUGUGAGUUUUGACAUAAAGCAUGCAAGUGGUGUGUGUGAAAGGAAUUAAUUUCUUUCACACCCACCAUUAUUUAUCACCAUUUAAAACAAAUAUCUAAUACAUUUAAAUCAUUUGAAAAAACAUAAAACAUAAACUUUAUGAAAUAAAUCAAAACUUUGAAUCAAAACACAAAAACUUUUUGUUCUUGGCAAAAAUGUCAAGAACAAUGAAGAACAUUCAUGAAAAACCCAAAAAAAAUUUUUCCAUGAACAUUUUUCACCCAAAAAAAACAUUCCAAAACCAUUCAAACUUUAGGGAAAUAACAUCUAACCAAACUAGGGUACAUAGGGGUUCCAAAAAAGUCACUUGAAAACACUUUUAACAAGUCAAACAAGAACCCAAAAAAUCCACCCUUUGGAUUUGGCCGAAAAAUUCCCAAAACAUGGCACCAAAUUUUAGCUCCAAUAUUCAUGCUCAUAUGAACUACAUCUACAACAUUUGAGAUGGCAAAUUUUCUAACAAAAUUUACAUUCAAAGAAGCAAGAAUAAAGCUUGUAACAAUUACAACUUUUAAAUCACAAACUAUGAACUACAAAACCCAAAAGGAUUCACCAACUACUAGACCUAGGCUCUGAUACCACUUGAAGGAAUUUUUGUGAAAACAUGUUCAUUUGAAGCAACAUCAUAUAGCAUGCAAUUAACAAUUAAAGGCGGAAUCAUGCUUGCAUGCACUUCAAAAACAAAACAUUAACCAUGAAAUUCAAAGCCUAGUAGAUUGGUGAACCAAAAACUCAACUCAAAACAAAGUGAGUUGAGAAAUUUAUACCUUUGUAGAUUCCUCUUUGCAUAAGCAAAGGCUAAUCACCCAAAGAGAGGGCCUUCAUUCCUUGCUUCUUAGAUCCUAUGGAUUUGGAUGGAAGAAUAGGUUUCUCCAAGUUCCCAAAAAUUGAGAACCUCUAAGUCUCUUCACCAAGGUUAGAUUGGAGAAGAAAUGAGUGACCUUGGAGUAGUGGGAUUGCUAGAUGCUAACCCUCCAAGGUGGCCGGCCUCUUUAGAGAGAAAAUGGAGAGACAAUGUUCUCUCCAAUUUUCUCCAAAAGAAACCCUUAAUGAAUUUUGGCUAUAAAGUCAUUUAUAUAGUCACUUCUUUAAGUGACCUGUAAAUAACCAAAAACCCUAAUUCAAUCAACAUGGCCGGCCAUAAGGGAUUUUGGGCUUUUGGGCCUUUGUGAAUCUUUAUUCAUUAAAGUUGUCAUACAACUUAAGUUCAAUGGGCUUGACGUUCGAAGCCCAUUGGGCCUUAAGGUCCAAAACUAUCCCGAGGUCUUUAACGAACUUAUUCGUUUGAUUAAUUAACAUAUUAANAGGUACAUAUACAAUCCAUUUAAGACAAUCUUUGGGAUUUUGUACCAAGUCCGGAAACUAAAGCAUUCGGCUUUUAUUUGUCAAGUUUUGGAUAGCGUUUGCAAAUAUAUUGUAAGUAAAUACAUAACGAAUAUAAAUUGAUUGAUUUUAAGCCAUUUGAUUCGGGUCUUUAAAUCAAAUAGCACCACCCACUAUUUUUGGCAAAUUCCAUAUCCUCAUGGAAUUCGAGAGUUUUUGGAUGAAACUCUUAGUAAGGUAUGGGAGACUCACUAUACCAAGCCCACUCACAAUGAUAUGAUGUUGGCUAGCAUUAAUAAUAAUGAGAGAGUACGCUUACUCAUUUGCAUCACUUGCAAGUACCCAUCUUAUUUGGCCUCUAGAGAAUGUCACCUCACAAUGAUAUGAUGUUGGCUCCAUUGCACUUAGUUAAGUCAUUCCCACCAUGCUUAGUUUGUGAAAGGGUUCAAGAAUAGCCUCACAAUGAUAUGAUGUUGGCCAUUCUCGUUGCCUACACUCACCUCAUCAAGUAUGUAUAUAGACUCCUCCUGAGUAUAAGCAUGCACUUUGCACUCCCCAUGAUAGGGUGAAGGAGGUGUACAAGUCAUAAACGAUUGGAGCUACCAUGGUGGAAGGCCACGAAAGAGUGUUCAAAGCACUCUCACGCUUAUCAACUUAAUAAUGGUUUGGUUGAGGGUUUAGGUCUCAUCACAUAUAAAACAUACAUUUUAAUCUAAUUAAAAAAUUUUGGUCCUAUUACAAAACUAUUGGUCCAUUUGAUUGUUUUAGUUGUAUAUAAUACUCCCACUAUGCUUAUAAAACGGUUUUUAAAGCAAGAGUAUAUGAUACUACUAACAUAAACUUUGCAUUCAUUUGAUGGACUAUAUAGUUGCCUUAGGACCUUAGGAUGAUUAUGAACCUUUUAAUUAGAUCCAACACGAGCCUUAUGUUGAAUCUCGGUCUAGGGAUGGUGAUUGAUUUUAGUUACGCGUUUAAUCACAUUAAGGUGUGUUGUCUUAGGGGUGUUGGACCCAACUACUUCAUUUUCAUGCAUAUCAAAUAAAGCAAGAAAGAAGUACUUCAAAGUAAAGGUGAGCUUAUGCUCAUUACAACAUUUGCAUAAAUCAAAUUACUUUAAAGUAAAGAAGAGCUUAUGCUCUUUUACAACAUUUGAAUCAAAUCAAAUUACAACCAAAAUCUAAUCUACACAUUCCAUGGUUCAAACAAAUUUGAAACGGCCUUUCACAUAGCUCAAUUAUUGUAGGCUUAGGUUCAUAAUCACCCUUUAAUUAAUUAACACUUUAACUAAUUAAAUUGAAUGCAACAUUUUCAUUUGGUUUUUGUAUCCAUAAAAUUGAUUUAAAUGGAGCUAAAUGAAAUGAAAAUCAAAUUCUCAUUUAAAGAGACAAAACAAUUUUGUUCUCAACCUAAUUUGGGCCAUCAUGCAAUAACCACAACUUUUUGGGCUAUAUUGCGAAAACACAAACUUUUGGGGUCACUUUGUAAAAACACAAAAGUCCACUACUUCAUGUAAUUACUAGAACCCAAAAUUUAAACAAUGCAAAAACUUCAUUAAAGGAGCAAAACAAUUUGUCCUUUAGCGUUUUUUGACCUAAACGUAAAAACACAAAAGUAUCAAAACUUUAUGUAAUUGCAUAAAAGCCCCAAAAGUACUCCCACUUGAGGGAGGGCCGGUUUUGGAGAAGGAUUAGAGUGAUGUGUGUGUUGAUUUGUGAGUUUUGACAUAAAGCAUGCAAGUGGUGUGUGUGAAAGGGAAUUAAUUCUUUCACACCCACCAUUAUUUCUACCACCAUUUAAACAAAUAUCUAACACAUUAAAUCAUUUGAAAAACAUAAAACAUAAACUUUAUGAAAUAAAUCAAAACUUUGAAUCAAAACACAAAACUUUUUGUUCUUGGCAAAAAUGUCAAGAACAAUGAAGAACAUUCAUGAAAAACCCAAAAAAAUUUCCAUGAACAUUUUUACUCCAAAAAAAAACAUCCCAAAACCAUUCAAACCUUAGGGAAAUAACAUAUAACCAAACUAGGGUACAUAGGGGUUCCAAAAGUUACUUGAAAACACUUUUAACAAGUCAAACAAGAACCAAAAAAUCCACCCUUUGGAUUUGGCCGAAAAUUCCCAAAAACAUGGCACCAAAUUUUAGCUCCAAUAUUCAUGCUCAUAAGAACUACAUCUACAACAUUUGAGAUGGCAAAUUUUCUAACAAAAUUUACAUUCAAAAAAACAAGAAUAAAGCUUGUAACAUAUUACAACUUUUAGAUCACAAACUAUGAACCACAAAACCCAAAAGGAUUCACCAACUACUAGACCUAGACUCUGAUACCACUUGAAGGAUGAUUUUGUGAAAACAUGUUCAUUUGAAUAACAUCUAUAGCAUGCAUUUAACAAUUAAAAGGCGGAAUCAUGCUUGCAUGCAUUCAAAAACAAAACAUUACCCAUGAAAUUCAAAGCCUAGUAGAUUGGUGAACCAAGACUCAACUCAAAUCAAAGUGAGUUGAGAAAUUUAUACCUUUGUAGAUUCCUCUUUG